This 426-nucleotide ribosomal RNA is filed under the name uncultured bacterium. Its description in RNAcentral is "bacterial SSU rRNA". It matches the Rfam family "Bacterial small subunit ribosomal RNA", at positions 355 to 773 of the family's 1533-position model. The record is from RNAcentral.
UGGGGAAUUUUGGACAAUGGGCGAAAGCCUGAUCCAGCCAUGCCGCGUGAGUGAAGAAGGCCUUCGGGUUGUAAAGCUCUUUUAGUCGGAAAGAAAGAGUUGCAAUGAAUAAUUGUGAUUUAUGACGGUACCGACAGAAAAAGCACCGGCUAACUACGUGCCAGCAGCCGCGGUAAUACGUAGGGUGCGAGCGUUAAUCGGAAUUACUGGGCGUAAAGGGUGCGCAGGCGGUCUUGCAAGUCAGAUGUGAAAGCCCCGGGCUUAACCUGGGAAUUGCGUUUGAAACUACAAGGCUAGAGUGCAGCAGAGGGGAGUGGAAUUCCAUGUGUGGCAGUGAAAUGCGUAGAGAUGUGGAAGAACACCGAUGGCGAAGGCAGCUCCCUGGGUUGACACUGACGCUCAUGCACGAAAGCGUGGGGAGCAAAC